CCCAGGUUCAAGUGAUUCUACUGUCUCAGGCUCCCAAGUAAUAAGGAUUACAGGUGCCUGCCACCACGCCUGGCUAAUUUUUGUAUUUUUAGUAGAGAUGGAGUUUCACCAUGUUGGCCAGGCUGGUCUCCAACUCCUAACCUCAAGUGAUUUGCCCACCUUGGCCUCCCAAAGUGCUGGGAUUACAGGCGUGAGCCACUGCACCUGGCCAACUGAUCUUGGAUUAAGUGGAGUCACCCUCUUCUUAUGUAGAGAGGAGAGAAAGGGAACAUUCAGAUGGCAGGUGGAGUGUGCAAUAGUUCAUAUAUCGCGGCUGCAUCUCUCUGUAAAUUACAACUCAAGUCAUUUUCUGAAGUUGAAGAAGUAGAGACAAUAGUGUUCGCUGAAAAUUGAGAGGUUUUUAAGUCCUGCAGAGGGCAAGUUACAUAAGUCAGCUGAUCAUAAGAGCACAAACUUAUAGCAGUAUCAGUGAAUUGCUGGCAUCUUGGAGCAACCCAGAUGCAGGCGUGGAGAAGUACACUGUUCUGUUCAUCUAGGGUUCAGCAUUUUCCACAACAAAAUGUACCUCAAAGACAAAUAGGCAAAGGAGUUUAGGGUACUGUCAUGUGAGUCAUCAGAAUGACAAGCAGGAACGUGAGCUGCGUGGAGCUGCUGGACAGGGAGACUGGAAAGGCUUAUAUGGUCAGAGACAGGAGGUGGGGACGCAGCCUCAGGAACGGUGUUGUUCUCAUUCUUGUAACAGCCUUUUCAGACAGCCUUUCCUUUCCCAACAGACGGUCGUGUUUUCUGUGCACAGCACAACCACACAGAGGCUGAGUCCUUCAGGCUCCCGUCAAGGCCCCACUGAGAGGGCAGCCCCGGGAGCUAGCCGGAGUCACUGCACCUGGCCUCCCAGGAUGAAAUUGAGACAAUACAAGUUCAGAAGGCUUCUGUUGUGCAAUCCAGAAUUCAGAAUCUGUCCUGAACCAUACUCAUGGAAACAACAAAGAGUUCUUCAAAUGCAACAGUCUGGCCCGUCCUAAAGACACAGGAGAAUGUGAGGAAACCACAGUUAUUGCGCAGUCCUGCUCCUGUGCUCAGUGGAUUGGGAAAAAGAAGAAGAAGAGUAAAGUCUGUGUUGACUUGUUUCUGGUCAUUUUUAUUUACCACCCAAUUCCUACGUGAAUUGGGUUAUGCCAUUUGUAAUGCAAAUCAAAUAUUACGUUCGUUCAUGAUUUAUAUGAUACUAAAUAAAAUGAAAAUUAGGCAUGUAGCAUUCCCAAAUUCACCCAUUCAAUAAAUAUUUAUUAAGCACUACUUUUAUCAGGCAUGUCUCUGAUCAUCAAGGGUGUCAUCCUGUUUUGUGUGUUUGUUUUUUCAGAAACUGGGUCUUGCUCUGUUGCUCAGGCCGGUCUCAAACUCCUGGGCUCAAGUGAUCCUCCUGUUUCUGCCUCCUGAGUAGUUGGGACUACAGGUGCACAUCAUCAUGCCCAGCUCAUAAGGAUACCAUCUUGAAGAAGGCUGUGAGGUUCCUGCUUUCAUGGAACUUACACUGUAGUGAUUUUGUUGGGAUGAGUUUUAGCCUUUAGAAUUCAUGCACAGCAAAGGGAUGUUAUCCUUGAAGAAGAGUUCUAGAAUUCGCUCCAUUGCCAAUUUUCUUCUAAUUAAUACAAAUCUCUCAUGAACCGAAUUUAUCAUUUCUUCAAUUCCCUCAUGUACCAGGGUGGUAGGUUUAAUAAAAAUAAUUACUGUUAAUAUAGUUUAAGGUUUUCAGAUAAGGUCUUCAGAUAAGGCUUUCAGGUUUUUCUAUCUGACUUUGAGAUUCCCUAUCUGCUAAUUUGCAUGAGAGUUUUAAAAUAAUAAACUCUGAAAAUUCAUCUUGCAAAUAGGAACUAUGGGUAAUAGGUUUAUGAAUACAACAACAAAUAUUUUUAAUUGAAGUAUUAAUUAAAAAGGGCACAACAAUGGCAAAUAUUAGAAAUACAUGUAGUUUUCCAUUUAACUUA
This 1985-nucleotide long non-coding RNA is filed under the name Homo sapiens (human). RNAcentral describes it as "HSALNT0253585". Lineage: Eukaryota; Metazoa; Chordata; Mammalia; Primates; Hominidae. The record is from RNAcentral.